RNAcentral lists this non-coding RNA (24 nucleotides) under Arabidopsis thaliana (thale cress). The record is from RNAcentral. Lineage: Eukaryota; Viridiplantae; Streptophyta; Magnoliopsida; Brassicales; Brassicaceae.
ACCAAGAAACAUUGGUGCUGGUGA